CAUGGCCUAUGAAACCAAAGAGCAGCAUGCUGAACAGGAGGGGGUGCACUCCCACCACUCACUCUCUACUAAGGGCUUCACAGGAAAAAACCUUAAUGCUCCCAAAGCUUCUCCCUCUCUGCACUUUUGAACAGAGUGGAGUUCCUUCUCAGGGCCAGCUCAGAGUCCCCAGCUUUGAUGAUAAGUGGUUAGGCUGCAUGCUCAACUCCCUCGUAGCAGGGCUAGGUCCCCUGGCUACCCACAAAUUCAACAAAUUCAACACAACCCAGAGGAAGCAUUGACUGGUACCUUUUCCAUCCAUUCAUUUCAGCACUAUCCAAUAGACCUCUAUCUGCAAUGAUGGAAAUGUUCUCUAUCUGCAUAAUCCAAUAUGGUAGCCACGUCACAUGUGACUAUUAAGUCACUUGAAGUGUGGCUUCCUGAUCCCUGACUGGGCCCACCAGCAACUCACCCUGGUCAGUCAUGGUCUCGCCCCCUCCUCGGAGAGCCAGCUGCUCAUUGUCCCGGACCACAGAAGCUGCUGUCAGUCGAUGGAGUGCUUGGUCCCACGCACUUUCUCUUUCAGGGGGCGAUGGAAGCUGUGAGCCACCAUCCACAGGCCCCCAUAAUGUCUCCAGCCCAACACCCACCUCCCAGCACAUAGGCUGCUUCCCACACAGGCCCCGGAUCACCACGUGGCAGCGUGGAGCCUGGGGAGGCAGUGGUACUGGGGGAGGGGCCAACUCCCCAUUGGGAGGAACAGCUGUGAACAAGAACGGUGGUUCCAUCAACAUGUCCCAGUCCAUGGGAGCCGGGGAGAGCAGGUUUCCUGGAGAGAGACAAUGAUAGGACCAGGGGCAGUGUGGUGCCCUGGUUACCACCUCCCCAAAGCCUCCUUGGUGUCAGAACCCAGCUAGCUCCCCAUCCAACCUUUACCUGAGUCAUCCAGGCCCUGUCCAAGCUGCUGCCCUGGCUCAGGGCCUGGCCCAUCUGGUGCUACACCUAGAGAUGGGUGUCGGGGAUGGCCAGGGACUGGGUUGACCCGGCCUGGGGGUGAUGAGAGGCUUCGACCAGCCAGAGCUGCUCUGUGUCGACGGCCCAGCACCUCAGCACUCAAGGCCCCAGUCUGCACAUAAGAAGUGGGGUUCACUGGUCCAGGAAUGCAGAGCUCCUGGCCAUCAGACAUACAGACACAAAUGGUCACAUUGCCCCUUUGAAGCUCCAAAUGGCUGUUCAUCACCGUUACGUUUCUCAUGGCCCCUGGCCCCCUUCCCAGUGCCGUGUCACUCCAUGCCCUAUUUCUCACUUGAGGUUGUUGCUUGUCCUAUUUUCAUUCAUGUCUUCUCCCUUUUUACCUGGCUAACUUCUUAUUCUUCAAGAGGUGGCUCUUUCCUUCCUGACUCCCUCAGACAGGGUUAGUCACCUUGAUUCUGAAUCCUAGUAAUGCCAUGUCCCGGGCUCAUCAGUAUGUUGUACGGUAUCAUAUAGAUUUAUCCAUCUAGUUCUUCAGCUAGACUUACUAGUAACCACUGCACAAUGUAUGGCAUACAGCAGAUGGUCAAUAAACAUUUGCUGGAUACAUGGGA
Molecule: non-coding RNA, 1565 nt
Organism: Vicugna pacos (alpaca)
Lineage: Eukaryota; Metazoa; Chordata; Mammalia; Artiodactyla; Camelidae
Source: RefSeq, a predicted model, not a curated record